ACAGCAGUAGCCACGGGAAUACGUAGGUGGCAAGCGUUGUCCGGAAUUAUUAGGCGUAAAGGGCUCGCAGGCGGUUUCUUAAGUCUGAUGUGAAAGCCCCCGGCUCAACCGGGGAGGGUCAUUGGAAACUGGGAAACUUGAGUGCAGAAGAGGAGAGUGGAAUUCCACGUGUAGCGGUGAAAUGCGUAGAGAUGUGGAGGAACACCCGUGGCGAAGGCGACUCUCUGGUCUGUAACUGACGCUGAGGAGCGAAAGCGUGGGGAGCGAACAGGAUUAGAUACCCCCGUAGUCCCUGUCUCUAUACA
RNAcentral lists this ribosomal RNA (305 nucleotides) under uncultured bacterium. RNAcentral's name for it is "partial 16S ribosomal RNA". It matches the Rfam family "Bacterial small subunit ribosomal RNA", at positions 505 to 808 of the family's 1533-position model. The record is from RNAcentral.